GAGAGAGGCUGCAGCUUUAUGAGGACUGCUAAUCUUCAUCCACCCUGGUUAAAGUCCCGGGCUCACUCG
RNAcentral lists this transfer RNA (69 nucleotides) under Lepidoblepharon ophthalmolepis. RNAcentral describes it as "tRNA-Ser". The record is from RNAcentral. Lineage: Eukaryota; Metazoa; Chordata; Actinopteri; Pleuronectiformes; Citharidae.